This 1436-nucleotide ribosomal RNA is filed under the name uncultured organism. RNAcentral's name for it is "16S ribosomal RNA". It matches the Rfam family "Bacterial small subunit ribosomal RNA". The record is from RNAcentral.
CAGGCUUAACACAUGCAAGUCGAGGGGCAGCAUGGUCUUAGCUUGCUAAGGCCGAUGGCGACCGGCGCACGGGUGAGUAACGCGUAUCCAACCUGCCUUACACUCUUGGACAGCCUUCUGAAAGGGAGAUUAAUACAAGAUGUUAUCAUGAGUAAGCAUUUUCGCAUGAUUAAAGGUUUACCGGUGUAAGAUGGGGAUGCGUUCCAUUAGAUAGUAGGCGGGGUAACGGCCCACCUAGUCUUCGAUGGAUAGGGGUUCUGAGAGGAAGGUCCCCCACAUUGGAACUGAGACACGGUCCAAACUCCUACGGGAGGCAGCAGUGAGGAAUAUUGGUCAAUGGACGAGAGUCUGAACCAGCCAAGUAGCGUGAAGGAUGAAGGUUCUAUGGAUUGUAAACUUCUUUUAUACGGGAAUAAACGGAUCCACGUGUGGAUUUUUGCAUGUACCGUAUGAAUAAGGAUCGGCUAACUCCGUGCCAGCAGCCGCGGUAAUACGGAGGAUCCGAGCGUUAUCCGGAUUUAUUGGGUUUAAAGGGAGCGUAGAUGGGUUGUUAAGUCAGUUGUGAAAGUUUGCGGCUCAACCGUAAAAUUGCAAUUGAUACUGGCAGUCUUGAGUACAGUUGAGGUAGGCGGAAUUCGUGGUGUAGCGGUGAAAUGCUUAGAUAUCACGAAGAACUCCGAUUGCGAAAGGCAGCUUACUAGCCUGUAACUGACAUUGAUGCUCGAAAGUGUGGGUAUCAAACAGGAUUAGAUACCCUGGUAGUCCACACGGUAAACGAUGAAUACUCGCUGUAGGCGAUAUACAGUCUGCGGCCAAGCGAAAGCAUUAAGUAUUCCACCUGGGGAGUACGCCGGCAACGGUGAAACUCAAAGGAAUUGACGGGGGCCCGCACAAGCGGAGGAACAUGUGGUUUAAUUCGAUGAUACGCGAGGAACCUUACCCGGGCUUAAAUUGCAACCGAAUAUGGCGGAAACGCUAUAGCUAGCAAUAGCGGUUGUGAAGGUGCUGCAUGGUUGUCGUCAGCUCGUGCCGUGAGGUGUCGGCUUAAGUGCCAUAACGAGCGCAACCCUUGCCGAUAGUUACUAACAGGUCAUGCUGAGGACUCUGUCGGGACUGCCAUCGUAAGAUGUGAGGAAGGUGGGGAUGACGUCAAAUCAGCACGGCCCUUACGUCCGGGGCUACACACGUGUUACAAUGGGGGGUACAGAGGGCUGCUACCACGCAAGUGGAUGCCAAUCCCAAAAACCUCUCUCAGUCCGGAUUGAAGUCUGCAACCCGACUUCAUGAAGCUGGAUUCGCUAGUAAUCGCGCAUCAGCCACGGCGCGGUGAAUACGUUCCCGGGCCUUGUACACACCGCCCGUCAAGCCAUGGGAGCCGGGGGUACCUGAAGUGCGUAACCGCAAGGAGCGCCCUAGGGUAAAACUGGUGACUGGGG